This 594-nucleotide non-coding RNA is filed under the name Pan troglodytes (chimpanzee). Lineage: Eukaryota; Metazoa; Chordata; Mammalia; Primates; Hominidae. The record is from RNAcentral.
ACUGGCCCUGCGCCCAGGCACCGCCUGCGCUGCGCCGCGCGGCCUCACUCCGCGGCCCGCCAGGACCCGGCCCCGGUGAACGGGCUCGGGGUGCCGAGGUCCGGCUGCGGGGCCGGGAAGCCACCUCCACCUUGCCGUCUGUUACGACCCCCGAGGCGCAAGGCUGAGCCCCAUCUCGCUAUCCGGGUCCGGAGGGGUUCACCUUAGAAGGAUUUUUUGAAGCUCUUGGCGCUGGCUCUAAAAGAACCCACUUCCUUGCGGAUUUCAGGAGUCAAGAAUCCUUAAACGGAGCCAAUUUGCUUUGUAAAGCCAAUUGCCCAAGUGACUUGAGUUCGAAAGGAGAUACUUCCUGGACAACUGCUAUAAAAACAACAACAAAUACUUUUAUUAAUUCGGGGAGCCUGGUCACCAACUGGAUGCUCAGGGGAGACGGAACCCUGAGCAGCCCAUGUACAUGGAAGAUCUUUAUUGCAGAGAUCUUUAAACCAGGUAAGCCCUGCCAGCUUUUGUCCCUCCACUCCUUCCUCCAAUCCAGAGUUCCUUGCUGCCAAAGGAAGAAUUUGUGGGAAGAGGAAACUCUUCUCUCUCAUUGCU